Molecule: ribosomal RNA, 270 nt
Filed under: uncultured bacterium
Lineage: Bacteria
Description: partial 16S ribosomal RNA
Rfam family: Bacterial small subunit ribosomal RNA
Source: RNAcentral
AUCGUCCUACGGGGGGCAGCAGUGGGGAAUAUUGCACAAUGGGGGAAACCCUGAUGCAGCGACGCCGCGUGAAGGAAGAAGUAUCUCGGUAUGUAAACUUCUAUCAGCAGGGAAGAAAACAGACGGUACCUGACUAAGAAGCCCCGGCUAACUACGUGCCAGCAGCCGCGGUAAUACGUAGGGGGCAAGCGUUAUCCGGAAUUACUGGGUGUAAAGGGAGCGUAGACGGCUGUGCAAGUCUGGAGUGAAAGGCGGGGGCCCAACCCCCGG